GCACCUGUGGUGGAACGGCAGACACGCUGGAUUUAGGUUCCAGUGCCGCAAGGCGUGUGGGUUCAAGUCCCACCAGGUGCACCA
Molecule: transfer RNA, 84 nt
Filed under: Kiritimatiellia bacterium
Lineage: Bacteria; Pseudomonadati; Kiritimatiellota; Kiritimatiellia
Description: Kiritimatiellae bacterium (gut metagenome) tRNA-Leu
Rfam family: tRNA
About the family: Transfer RNA (tRNA) molecules are approximately 80 nucleotides in length.
Source: RNAcentral